CACGUAGGGCGCGAGCGUUGUCCGGAAUUAUUGGGCGUAAAGAGCUCGUAGGCGGCCUGUUGCGUCCGCUGUGAAAGCCCGGGGCUUAACCCCGGGUCGGCAGUGGAUACGGGCAGGCUAGAGGUAGGUAGGGGAGAAUGGAAUUCCCGGUGUAGCGGUGAAAUGCGCAGAUAUCGGGAGGAACACCGGUGGCGAAGGCGGUUCUCUGGGCCUGUUCUGACGCUGAGGAGCGAAAGCGUGGGGAGCGAACAGG
Molecule: ribosomal RNA, 253 nt
Filed under: uncultured bacterium
Lineage: Bacteria
Description: partial 16S ribosomal RNA
Rfam family: Bacterial small subunit ribosomal RNA
Source: RNAcentral